AACGUAGGAGGCAAGCGUUAUCCGGAUUUACUGGGCGUAAAGCGUGUGCAGGCGGUUGUCCAAGUCGUGGAUGAAAGCGCUCCGCUUAACGGGGCGAGGCUAGACGAGACUGGGCGACUAGAAUCAGACAGAGGCAAGCGGAAUUCCGGGUGUAGUGGUGAAAUGCGUAGAGAUGUGGAGGAACACCGAUGGCGAAGGCAGCCCCCUGGGCUAACACUGACGCUCAGGCACGAAAGCGUGGGGAGCAAACAGG
This 253-nucleotide ribosomal RNA is filed under the name uncultured bacterium. RNAcentral describes it as "partial 16S ribosomal RNA". It matches the Rfam family "Bacterial small subunit ribosomal RNA", at positions 524 to 776 of the family's 1533-position model. The record is from RNAcentral.